RNAcentral lists this ribosomal RNA (411 nucleotides) under uncultured bacterium. Its description in RNAcentral is "bacterial SSU rRNA". It matches the Rfam family "Bacterial small subunit ribosomal RNA", at positions 355 to 775 of the family's 1533-position model. The record is from RNAcentral.
UCGAGAAUCUUCGGCAAUGGGCGCAAGCCUGACCGAGCGACGCCGCGUGGAGGAUGAAGGCCUUCGGGUUGUAAACUCCUGUCGAGGGGGAGGAAGGCGCAAGCUUGACCUAUCCCUGGAGGAAGCACGGGCUAAGUUCGUGCCAGCAGCCGCGGUAAGACGAACCGUGCGAACGUUAUUCGGAAUCACUGGGCUUAAAGCGCGUGUAGGCGGAUGGGGACGUCGGUUGUUGAAAGCCCCCGGCUCAACCGGGGAACUGGCGCCGAAACGCCCUGUCUUGAGGAGCGUAGGGGGACCUGGAACUUCCGGUGGAGCGGUGAAAUGCGUUGAGAUCGGAAGGAACGCCCGUGGCGAAAGCGAGGUCCUGGACGUUAUCUGACGCUGAGACGCGAAAGCUAGGGGAGCGAACGG